RNAcentral lists this ribosomal RNA (388 nucleotides) under Ochromonas tuberculata. Its description in RNAcentral is "partial small subunit ribosomal RNA". It matches the Rfam family "Eukaryotic small subunit ribosomal RNA", at positions 30 to 432 of the family's 1831-position model. The record is from RNAcentral. Lineage: Eukaryota; Chrysophyceae; Chromulinales; Chromulinaceae.
GCUUGUCUCAAAGAUUAAGCCAUGCAUGUCUAAGUAUAAACGAUUUUAUACGUGAAACUGCGAAUGGCUCAUUAUAUCAGUUAUAGUUUAUUUGAUGGUCCUUACUACUUGGAUAACCGUAGUAAUUCUAGAGCUAAUACAUGCAUCAAGCCCUGACUUCGGAAGGGGUGUAUUUAUUAGAUGGAAACCAAUGCAGGGCAACCUGGAAUAUGGUGAUUCAUAAUAACUCGCGGAUCGGUUUACCGAUGCAUCAUUCAAGUUUCUGCCCUAUCAGCUUUGGAUGGUAGGGUAUUGGCCUACCAUGGCUUUAACGGGUAACGGGGAAUUAGGGUUUGAUUCCGGAGAGGGAGCCUUAGAAACGGCUACCACAUCCAAGGAAGGCAGCAGG